CCUACGGGAGGCAGCAGUGAGGAAUAUUGGUCAAUGGACGGAAGUCUGAACCAGCCAUGCCGCGUGCAGGAAGACGGCUCUAUGAGUUGUAAACUGCUUUUGUACAAGGGUAAACCUGAAUACGUGUAUUCAGCUGAACGGACUGUACGAAUAAGGACCGGCUAACUCCGUGCCAGCAGCCGCGGGAAUACGGAGGGUCCAAGCGUUAUCCGGAUUGAUUGGGUGUAAAGGGUGCGUAGGCGGAUUGAUAAGUUAGAGGUGAAAUGUCCGGGCUUAACUCGGGAACUGCCUCUAAUACUGUUGAUCUAGAGAGUAGGUGCGGUAGGCGGAAUGUAUGGUGUAGCGGUGAAAUGCUUAGAGAUCAUACAGAACACCGAUUGCGAAGGCAGCUUACUAAACAAUAACUGACGCUGAAGCACGAAAGCGUGGGGAUCAAACAGGAUUAGAUACCCGAGUAGUC
This 460-nucleotide ribosomal RNA is filed under the name uncultured bacterium. RNAcentral's name for it is "partial 16S ribosomal RNA". It matches the Rfam family "Bacterial small subunit ribosomal RNA", at positions 338 to 795 of the family's 1533-position model. The record is from RNAcentral.